CCUACGGGGGGCAGCAGUGGGGAAUAUUGCGCAAUGGGCGAAAGCCUGACGCAGCGACGCCGCGUGAGGGAUGAAGGUCUUCGGAUCGUAAACCUCUGUCAGCAGGGAAGAACGGUCACUGUGCUAAUCAGCAGUGAAUUGACGGUACCUGCAAAGGAAGCACCGGCUAACUCCGUGCCAGCAGCCGCGGUAAUACGGAGGGUGCGAGCGUUAAUCGGAAUUACUGGGCGUAAAGCGCUCGUAGGCGGUAUGUCAAGUCAAGGGUGAAAUCCCCGCGCUCAACGUGGGAACUGCUUUUGAAACUGGUAAACUUGAGUGUUUGAGAGGAUGGUGGAAUUCCAGGUGUAGGAGUGAAAUCCGUAGAUAUCUGGAGGAACAUCAGUGGCGAAGGCGACUAUCUGGCACAUAACUGACGCUGAGGAGCGAAAGCGUGGGUAGCAAACAGGAUUAGAUACCCGAGUAGUC
Molecule: ribosomal RNA, 465 nt
Filed under: uncultured bacterium
Lineage: Bacteria
Description: partial 16S ribosomal RNA
Rfam family: Bacterial small subunit ribosomal RNA
Source: RNAcentral